AUUCUUCAACCCUCUCUUUUCUUAGUGAUUAGAGAGAAGUUUGGAUUCUGAGUGUUGCUCCUAACCCGAGCUCAUUCGUAAUGUAUUAGCAUCCAUAUUCGAAUUUCGGAUUGACUUGGCGUAAUAGACUAUUCGCUGAGGAAUCUAACUUUGGUUAGAGCCGUGUUUGAACUAGGAAGCUACUAAUCUAGCUUAGUCUACUUUUAG
This 207-nucleotide unclassified non-coding RNA is filed under the name Rhodosporidiobolus odoratus. RNAcentral's name for it is "partial internal transcribed spacer 2". The record is from RNAcentral. Lineage: Eukaryota; Fungi; Basidiomycota; Microbotryomycetes; Sporidiobolales; Sporidiobolaceae.